GCACUUUGGGAAAAGCCUGGGAAACUGGGUCUAAUACCGAAUAUGACCUUGGGAUGCAUGUCUCUUGGUGGAAAGCUUUUGCGGUGUGGGAUGGGCCCGCGGCCUAUCAGCUUGUUAGUGGGGUGAUGGCCUACCAAGGCGACGACGGGUAGCCGGCCUGAGAGGGUGUCCGGCCACACUGGGACUGAGAUACGGCCCAGACUCCUACGGGAGGCAGCAGUGGGGAAUAUUGCACAAUGGGCGCAAGCCUGAUGCAGCAACGCCGCGUGGGGGAUGACGGCCUUCGGGUUGUAAACCUCUUUCAGCAGGGACGAAGCGCAAGUGACGGUACCUGCAGAAGAAGGACCGGCCAACUACGUGCCGGCAGCCGCGGUAAUACGUAGGGUCCGAGCGCUGUCCGGAAUUACUGGGCGUAAAGAGCUCGUAGGUGGUUUGUCGCGUUGUUCGUGAAAACUCACAGCUCAACUGUGGGCGUGCGGGCGAUACGGGCGGACUGGAGUACUGCAGGGGAGACUGGAAUUCCUGGUGUAGCGGUGGAAUGCGCAGAUAUCAGGAGGAACACCGGUGGCGAAGGCGGGUCUCUGGGCAGUAACUGACGCUGAGGAGCGGAAGCGUGGGGAGCGAACAGGAUUAGAUACCCUGGUAGUCCACGCCGUAAACGGUGGGUACUAGGUGUGGGUUUCCUU
RNAcentral lists this ribosomal RNA (686 nucleotides) under uncultured Mycobacterium sp. Its description in RNAcentral is "bacterial SSU rRNA". It matches the Rfam family "Bacterial small subunit ribosomal RNA", at positions 133 to 833 of the family's 1533-position model. The record is from RNAcentral. Lineage: Bacteria; Bacillati; Actinomycetota; Actinomycetes; Mycobacteriales; Mycobacteriaceae.